This 86-nucleotide transfer RNA is filed under the name Chloroflexota bacterium. RNAcentral's name for it is "tRNA-Ser". It matches the Rfam family "tRNA". Rfam says of the family: Transfer RNA (tRNA) molecules are approximately 80 nucleotides in length. The record is from RNAcentral. Lineage: Bacteria; Bacillati; Chloroflexota.
GGAGGGAUGGCCGAGCGGUUUAAGGCGCCUGUCUUGAAAACAGGUUGGGGUAUCCCCCCACGUGGGUUCGAAUCCCACUCCCUCCG